Molecule: transfer RNA, 73 nt
Filed under: Russula sp.
Lineage: Eukaryota; Fungi; Basidiomycota; Agaricomycetes; Russulales; Russulaceae
Description: tRNA-Gly
Source: RNAcentral
GGAUUAAUGUUAAUUGGUUUAACUUUAUACUCCCCCGAAGUAUAUUAUUGCAGUUCGAUUCUGCUAUAUUCUA